CCCUUAGAUGUUCUGGGCCGCACGCGCGCUACACUGACGAAGUCAGCGAGCAUGUCCUACGCCGACAGGUGCGGGGAAUCUUGCCAAACUUCGUCGUGAUGGGGAUUGAUUAUUGAAAUUCUUGAUCAUCAACGAGGAAUUCCUAGUAAGCGCAAGUCAGCAGCUUGCGUUGAUUACGUCCCUGCCCUUUGUACACACCGCCCGUCGCACCUACCGAUUGAAUGUUUCGGUGAAGAUUCCGGAUAGGACUUUUUUGAUUUAUUUCAAUUUUGUCUUAAAAGCUAUCUAAACCUCAACAUUUAGAGGAAGGUGAAGUCGUAACA
This 323-nucleotide ribosomal RNA is filed under the name uncultured eukaryote. Its description in RNAcentral is "partial 18S ribosomal RNA". It matches the Rfam family "Eukaryotic small subunit ribosomal RNA", at positions 1470 to 1796 of the family's 1831-position model. The record is from RNAcentral.